This 301-nucleotide ribosomal RNA is filed under the name uncultured bacterium. RNAcentral describes it as "partial 16S ribosomal RNA". It matches the Rfam family "Bacterial small subunit ribosomal RNA", at positions 509 to 807 of the family's 1533-position model. The record is from RNAcentral.
CAGUAGCCGCGGUAAUACGAGGGGGGCAAGCGUUGUUCGGAAUUAUUGGGCGUAAAGGGCGCGUAGGCGGUUUGGCAAGUUUCGUGUGAAAUCUUCGGGCUCAACUCGAAGUCUGCACGGAAAACUGCCGGGCUUGAGUAUGGGAGAGGUGAGUGGAAUUUCCGGUGUAGCGGUGAAAUGCGUAGAUAUCGGAAGGAACACCUGUGGCGAAAGCGGCUCACUGGACAAUAACUGACGCUGAUGCACGAAAGCUAGGGGAGCAAACAGGAUUAGAGACCCCCGUAGUCCCUGUCUCUUAUAC